RNAcentral lists this transfer RNA (73 nucleotides) under Microcaldota archaeon. RNAcentral describes it as "Candidatus Micrarchaeota archaeon (hot springs metagenome) tRNA-Thr". It matches the Rfam family "tRNA". Rfam says of the family: Transfer RNA (tRNA) molecules are approximately 80 nucleotides in length. Their secondary structure includes four short double-helical elements and three loops (D, anti-codon, and T loops). Further hydrogen bonds mediate the characteristic L-shaped molecular structure. tRNAs have two regions of fundamental functional importance: the anti-codon, which is responsible for specific mRNA codon recognition, and the 3' end, to which the tRNAs corresponding amino acid is attached (by aminoacyl-tRNA synthetases). tRNAs cope with the degeneracy of the genetic code in two manners: having more than one tRNA (with a specific anti-codon) for a particular amino acid; and 'wobble' base-pairing, i.e. permitting non-standard base-pairing at the 3rd anti-codon position. Lineage: Archaea; Nanobdellati; Microcaldota. The record is from RNAcentral.
GCCUCGAUAGCUCAGCCGGUAGAGCGCUUGCAUGGUAAGCAAGAGGUCAUGGGUUCAACUCCCAUUCGAGGCU